AAAAAAAAAAUUUCAUACAUUUUAAGAAAUUGCAGCUUUUGUAUCACUACCCCACUUUUCCAUGAGCGGGGUCAAAAAUGACCCCAAACAUUUCCUAUGGAAUCUCAGGGCUUAACUCUAGGAACCUUUGAUACUUAUCAACUGUGAUUGUCAGUAUACAUUUACUGUUGCACUUACACAUCUGAUGCUGCAGUCUCACCACCCAGGAGGUCAUUUUUACACAGCAACAUCAAUGGGAAGGUGAGGAGUGACAAAAGCUGCAAUCCAGCCACAGGAGAGAAGCACACAGGGCCAACAGAAGAGAAAGAGAUGUCAGAUGUGUCCAAGAAACAAAGAUCGCAAAGCCACCAAUUGCUGCUGGAAAUGCAGUAUUCCUGUGUGCAACGAUCACAGCCAGAAGCAAGUAGUUUGUAACAGCUGCACACAGUGAGAAGAGAGAAGACGUUUGUGUGUGUACAUGUCGGUGGACGGUGUUAUGGUCCCCGGACCUACUGUUUGUUCAUUCUCUGUUCGUCCUCCACAGUCAAACAGACAAACGGACACACAAUGUAUUUUGACAUUUUUUGAUUUUUGAUUGAUUGUUUUGUAAUGAAAUGUGAAUAAAAAGUAAUAAAUGAACAUGUCAAAAAUGAAA
This is a long non-coding RNA of Notolabrus celidotus (New Zealand spotty), 634 nucleotides long. RefSeq lists it as uncharacterized. NCBI's taxonomy places the organism in Eukaryota, Metazoa, Chordata, Actinopteri, Labriformes, Labridae. The transcript is spliced from 2 exons. The record is from RefSeq and is a predicted model, not a curated record.